UCCAGCUAUUUCGCCCAACCCAUAUUAGACUGUGUUAUAAAGACAUGGUAAAUUACAUCACGAAGGGAAGAGCAGAGGAAACAUAAUAUUCCUUCAAGACCCAUCAGCUCAGAUGUUAGCAGAACACUCCUAAGGAGGAAAACAAGAAAUUUUGGGUUUGAACUUGGUACUUCCCAGCAGCCCUGGGAGUGGGGUCAGAAGCCCUGCUGGUGGGGGCGAAGAACUCUGAGGAUCAAAGAUGUUGAUCAUCACCAGGAAGCUCACUGCAGCAAUAAUCAUGAUGCACUGAGCCUGACAAGGUGAGAAUUUACUUUCAGCACCUGCAAUAGUUUCCUAUUAAAGUUACAUAUGAAGCCCUGCCGUCUUGUGCCAACUAAUGUUCACACCAGCGUUCCUAUUUUCAAGAUAAAUUGCAAAAUAAAAACUUUUUUUUUUAGCAAAAGAAAACUUCUUUAGGAGGAUAAAAGGGAGAUGAAGAAACAGAAAACACAUCAGCUCUCCAUCUAAAUUACAGAAAGCAGAAAAUAUCCUGAAUUGAAUAACACAGGAAUCACUCUUUUUCCCCCCUGAGAUAAGAGGUUACUUAUGAGAAACAAGCUUGAAAUCUCUGCACCUGAACCAGCUUCCAGAGGCUUUUGUCCUAACCAGCUGGAUUUGGGGAAGUAAAGGAAACCAGGUAAGAAGGGGCUGAAAGAAUUGGUUUCCACCGUGACCUUUGAACCCUCGGGCGAGUUGUCAACCUCACUGAGGAUGAGUGUCCUCGAUAUCAAACGAGGUCACUUUACUCGCAAGCUUGUUGUGAGGACUGAAUGAAACCUUUUCUUUUUUCUUGGAGUUUCAGAGCAACGUCCCUGAGCCGAGCCCCACACCAGCUUGAGCCCUAUCGUCGGUCAAUACACGGUGCUUUCUCCCCUCCCCUCUGCACUCCAGCUUACUCUGCAGUCAGGAGGUGGCACCAGGAUCCCCUUUAAGACUUUGCCACUUGGGCCAGCUGUGCCUCUGUGAAAUUCCCUGUUUAUAUUGCAGGCCACAAGGACGAGCUGAGAAAUGGCUUCCAGUCACCAUCUAGAUUAGAAAGCCUAUAUUUCAAAUAUAGAGAUAUCAAUUAUACCUGUGAAAAGACAUUAAAUCCCACAGGGCUGUAAUUCCUAGACUACAAAUUUCAUCUUGCACCAAAUUUUAUUAUUUCAUUUAUAAUUCGAAUUCUGCAAAUCUAAGAGUGUCUGGCUCAAAAUUAUAAUACCUACAACUAUUCCAAAAGAUUCUUUAAUUGCUUUACUGGAACCAGUAGCUGAUUCAAAGCAAAACGAAACAAAAUUCCUCCUUUCUCUGAUUUAGCGAAUCAAUGAUCUAACUGAACUCAUUUUUGGACUGAGUUUGUGGCACUUGCAGCCCUGAGGGACACACUCCCCCACCACACUGAGCCUGCACUCCCAUCAACGCAAAUGAACAUUUUGCUUAUUCAGAUUGGGGGGGGUGGUGAAGGAAG
RNAcentral lists this long non-coding RNA (1489 nucleotides) under Pongo abelii (Sumatran orangutan). Its description in RNAcentral is "lincRNA". The record is from RNAcentral. Lineage: Eukaryota; Metazoa; Chordata; Mammalia; Primates; Hominidae.